Long non-coding RNA from Falco peregrinus (peregrine falcon), 1998 nucleotides. RefSeq lists it as uncharacterized. The record is from RefSeq and is a predicted model, not a curated record. The transcript is spliced from 4 exons. Lineage: Eukaryota; Metazoa; Chordata; Aves; Falconiformes; Falconidae.
CACAAAACACAAGUGUUAAGAUUUGCUGGAGAUGGAACCCACUUGUGGCAGAACAUGGCUUUAUCAGAACUCAGGAGACCCUUCUAAUGGAAGCUGCUCUACCAGCACAAUCACUUCGCAGACCUUAAUCCAAAUUUCUGCAAUAAAUGGAAAGAGUCAAGAUUCUGCGUUUUAUAACCAAUUCCUCAGUGCAAGUAUGCUGCAUGACUUCAAGUAGAGCACUAGUUACCACACCUGCUCAACUGUUAAGGUCACAGGAUAAAAAUGACUGACUCCAGGGGGAUUUGCUGCUUGAGUCUUCUGGCCAUUAAGCUAAGAUGGAGGAGGCUGCUCCUUCCUCUGGGUCACUGGUGUUAAAUCCACAGAAAUUUGAAUUGGUACACAUUACAGAAUCUCACACCUUGCCAGCCUACUGAGCUCACGAGGGUUGAUGGCUCAUCUUAGGAGGUGAGCGGUCAGAUAGGAGGAGGAGAAGGUUCACUGUCAGAGCAAUCAACAUCUGGAGCAGUUUUUUAUUGAGAGAUGUGUGAGCAAGACUCAGGGCUAUAAGGGCAAUCUUGGUAAGGAUAGGAGAGGGACUGCCCACAUUUCCCAUGACAGAGGGCUGUACAGGACAGGAAUCCUGAUCUUCCGUGUUACUGACGUGGCAUCCUCUGAGCACUGCAGUCCAGGCGCAAUCAUCAAUGCCUGCCCAGCAGGUCUGUACUUUGCCACCUGCCUUCAAAUGAAGGGUCACCCUGGUCCUGCCCAGUAUGAUAAUGCAACACAGAAAAAAGUUGAUUUUUAAUUCUCGAAGCUGCCUCAACUCACAAGAUUUUUCUCUCUUAUCCAGCACACUUAAUUACACUGAAGAAGUCCCUUUUAGCAAAACCACACUGCAGGCAUUAGACCCAUCUGUGCAAUCACCCAGCAGUUCUCUGCAUCUAUCGCCCUUCAUCUCUGUCAUGGCGCAGCCUAGUCCAGAGCAGCUCCCACUGGGAAACACCGGUCCUGGAAGAUGGGUAUGGGAGCCUUGGGGAAAUUUCCCUGGCCUCCUCAAGAGCUUCUCUCAUCCCAUGGAUCUUCUCUAGCAGAGCGUGGGAGCUAAUAAUACCCCUCUGCUGCUGUUCCAUAGCAUUUCCUCCUCUUUAUUUUAACUUCUACUGGUCACAUUACCAGCUGCUCCUUUGCCUCUGCCGCAUAACUGAAUGUCAAAAGAAACCAUAAAUCAGCUUACGGCAUUCAUUGAAUGGUGAAAUUGGUGCUUUCUCCCCUUCUGAAGGACUAGAAUUUUAAUUUCAGCUUCUAAAUAUACUUUAAAAUUUUAUUAUUUUAAUUAACAUUUAAAAAAAAAGAUUUUUAAGAGACAACACAAAUCCAGCUUGCCUUGGAGAAGGCAUGUACUGAGAUUUCCUCAAGAGUCACAGCCACUGAUCAGCACAAGAGGAACAAAGACACAGAUCCCAACCAGGGAUGCACUGGGGACCACAGCCCUGUAUGUGACAUGCAAAACCCUUCCAGAGUGAAAACAUGCUUAUUGGGAGCUCGAGCUAAUGAGUGGGAUGGGCACAGGCAUACUGGGACAAAACCUUGAGUCAAAUCCUCUGUGUAUCUCACCCUGACACUCCCCCUGUAUCCCAAAUCCCCACCUUUUUUAAUUAUUUUUUUUUGUUAGAGACUAAAAACAGCACACAGCUCACAGGUAUGGGAAGCAACGUUCUGUGCCCACUGCAUCCGUGUCUGACCAGAGUCCAAAGCCAAGAAUCCUCAACACAAGACAGCCGUCAGGGAAACGAGGAAUUUCCAAACAACCUUUGCGAUCUGCUGUAUGUUUUUCUUUCAAUGGCUAUUUCUAAUAAAACAUGUAUCAAUGCAGGUAUUUUUUGCUUCCUAAGUGCAGCAUCACACAUUAAAACGGAACGAAGUAUAUGAUUAUGACUGUAUGAUAUAACAAUUUAUUGCUACCAGAUUGACAAAUAGCUGUUAUCUUAAUAUUUAUAUUAAAAUCAUUUGUCUAGA